RNAcentral lists this ribosomal RNA (291 nucleotides) under uncultured prokaryote. RNAcentral's name for it is "partial 16S ribosomal RNA". It matches the Rfam family "Bacterial small subunit ribosomal RNA", at positions 355 to 660 of the family's 1533-position model. The record is from RNAcentral.
UGGGGGAUAUUGCACAAUGGGCGAAAGCCUGAUGCAGCAACGCCGCGUGAGGGAAGACGGUUUUCGGAUUGUAAACAUCUGUCUUUGGUGAAGAAAGAAAUGACGGUAGCCGAGGAGGAAGCCACGGCUAACUACGUGCCAGCAGCCGCGGUAAUAAGUAGGUGGCAAGCGUUGUACGGAAUUACUGGGUGUAAAGGGAGCGCAGGCGGGAGAGCAAGUCAGCUGUGAAAACUAUGGGCUUAACCCAUAAACUGCAGGUUAAAGUGGUUGUCUUUGGUGUAGUAGAGGUAG